UUUCCACCGCCUUUCAUUUCAUCUCACCCGUUCUUUCUCUAUUUUCUUUUUCAUUCUCUUCUCUGUUUUGAACUGGGAAAGUCGAAGGGAAACAGAGCACGAGAGAGAGAGAGGGGGGGACUAUGAAACCGAGAUGGAGCAGAGGGAAUCGGAAGAAUAUGGAGUAGAACAAAGGAAGAACGUGUGCUCGAUUGAGAGCUCGGGUUGGGGUUUAUGGGAGAGAAGGAAGGUUCUUGUCGGAGCAAAGAAAACGGAGGAGGAGCUAAAUUUUCGGUGCAAGUUUUGUGAGAGAGAGGGUACAGUGACAAUGGUUCCAGGUAGAGGGGUUACAGAGACUGAGCUUUGCACCUCGAAGAAUCGACCCAAUGAAAUAUUUUUUGGUAUUCGAUGAGCUAGGAGUUAGACUAGCAGCACAGGAGAACUUCUUGCACAUCAGGGAUCAGCUCGGAGGACUAGGUAGGGACGUUAGUUAUUUGGUACUAGUUCUUUUUGUAUAGAUUGUAUUUGAAUACGUUAUGAUCUGAAACUUUUGUUUAGUUGGUUUAGUGAUGUGGCUCUCUUGGAAUGUGUGUGUAUAUAUAUAUAUAUAUAGGGCAGUUUAGGAAAAAUUCUGCUGAAAUAUCGGGUCGUGACAUAUGCGCCGAAGAGAUGUACCCUUGUCCAGCAAAUUAGUCAGGAUUUGCGGAUGAAGCACGAGGAGAGCUCAACCAUUUCGCAAAGGCUAGGAGUAAAGCUAGCCUUCUUUCAUUACUCUCCCAAACCUAUCAACCCAUCAAAAUUAUUAACGUGCUAUGUGACUGAGAUGGAGAAGAAGAAGAGAGACCUCAUCAUCGAAGCUUGUGUGUUUGUCUACCUUUUCCAAAUAUAUGUGAUUUAGAAUCGCAUUAUAUACUCUUUCCGACGACAAAAGCUCCAAACUAUUCAUUCAUGAAUAUCUACCAAAGGCAUAUUAGGACGGUAUAUGUACGUCAUAAAUUUAUCAAUUAUAGCAUGAUUUGCAUGCUAUACAGUAUCCUUCAGUUACUAGCGUUAUGUUAUUAAAAAGAAAAAAGGCGUUGUGACUGCUUUACUGUAGCAAUAUUAAUUCUUGGAGCAGACGACUGAUCGGCUCGGUCUUUGGCCUGCCCCAGAGUUUCGGCUUCUUCUUGGAGCUUCACCAAUCUUCAGGAAAAAAGAAGCCACUUCUUUGAGUAUAUAAUCCGUGACGUUUCCCUCCUCCUAGAUUCUCUUUAAUCUGAGUACAUCUCAUAAGUUAAUAACACGAUGUUCUUCGUGGAUGUCCUCCUUCACCGUCUCAGUCUCUCGACAUUAAUGAUUUCGAUGCUGUGGUAGGUGAGAGAGAGUGAUGAACUAAGCCAUAUCCCUAUCUGGUGAGAGAUGACCAACUGCCACUUUCCCAAACCCCCAGAGAUGUAACUUCUUCCUGCUAUUAAUUGAUGUUAGUGUUAGUGAUAUAUCCUAGAGCCGGUUUAUGUAUUUUGGAUAAUUCCUUUUAUGACAAUGAAGUUUAUUCUA
Punica granatum (pomegranate) is the source of this 1515-nucleotide non-coding RNA. The record is from RefSeq and is a predicted model, not a curated record. NCBI's taxonomy places the organism in Eukaryota, Viridiplantae, Streptophyta, Magnoliopsida, Myrtales, Lythraceae.